AGGGUUUGAUUAUGGCUCAGGAUGAACGCUAGCUACAGGCUUAACACAUGCAAGUCGAGGGGCAGCAUUUUAGUUUGCUUGCAAACUAAAGAUGGCGACCGGCGCACGGGUGAGUAACACGUAUCCAACCUGCCGAUAACUCGGGGAUAGCCUUUCGAAAGAAAGAUUAAUAUCCGAUAGUAUAUUAAAACCGCAUGGUUUUACUAUUAAAGAAUUUCGGUUAUCGAUGGGGAUGCGUUCCAUUAGUUUGUUGGCGGGGUAACGGCCCACCAAGACUACGAUGGAUAGGGGUUCUGAGAGGAAGGUCCCCCACAUUGGAACUGAGACACGGUCCAA
RNAcentral lists this ribosomal RNA (336 nucleotides) under uncultured bacterium. RNAcentral describes it as "bacterial SSU rRNA". It matches the Rfam family "Bacterial small subunit ribosomal RNA", at positions 8 to 334 of the family's 1533-position model. The record is from RNAcentral.